UCCGUAGACGGUUUAUUAAGUCUGGUGUGAAAUAUGAUGGCUCAACCAUCAAAACGCAUUGGAUACUGGUGAACUAGAGUAUGUUAGAGGAUAGUGGAAUUCCAUGUGUAGCGGUGAAAUGCGUAGAUAUAUGGAGGAACACCAGUGGCGAAGGCGGCUAUCUGGGACAUUACUGACGUUGAGGGACGAAAGCGUGGGGAGCGAACA
RNAcentral lists this ribosomal RNA (207 nucleotides) under uncultured bacterium. RNAcentral describes it as "partial 16S ribosomal RNA". It matches the Rfam family "Bacterial small subunit ribosomal RNA", at positions 568 to 774 of the family's 1533-position model. The record is from RNAcentral.